UACGGAGGGUGCGAGCGUUGUCCGGAAUCACUGGGCGUAAAGGGCGCGUAGGUGGCCUGUGGAAGUCUGCGGUGAAAGCCCGGCGCUCAACGCCGGGUCGGCCGUGGAUACUCUCGGGCUUGAGCUUACUAGAGGCAGAUGGAAUUCCGGGUGUAGCGGUGGAAUGCGUAGAGAUCCGGAAGAACACCGGUGGCGAAGGCGGCCUGCUGGGCAGUUACUGACACUGAGGCGCGACAGCGUGGGGAGCAAACAGG
Molecule: ribosomal RNA, 254 nt
Filed under: uncultured bacterium
Lineage: Bacteria
Description: partial 16S ribosomal RNA
Rfam family: Bacterial small subunit ribosomal RNA
Source: RNAcentral